Long non-coding RNA from Triticum aestivum (bread wheat), 3379 nucleotides. RefSeq lists it as uncharacterized. Lineage: Eukaryota; Viridiplantae; Streptophyta; Magnoliopsida; Poales; Poaceae. The record is from RefSeq and is a predicted model, not a curated record. The transcript is spliced from 6 exons.
CCCCCCCCCCCCCUCUCUCUCUUUGCGCUUGGGGGCAUCGGGAAGGCACCCCUAUCGUGGCCACGGGGAGCUCCAGCACCAGGUCCAGCAGCGGUCGCCCGGAGCGUGCUGGUGGCGAGGGCGAGGAGAGGAACGGUCUACGGCGCCAACCUGCGAGCCGGAGGGAGUGGCGUCAUCAGUGGCCUCUGGCUCUUCCUCACCGUCGGCGGGGGCCUCUCAUUGCCGGCCUUCCUGUUGUUCGUCGGAAUUUGUGGUGCCAUUUCCUUCAGGCCAUACCUAUUAAAAAUAUUUCUGUGGUUUCGAGGAUACAUCAAACAUACAUAAUAGGCUAUCUAAAGGAUGUUAUAUUACCCCGAAUAUUAGAUGAUACAUACGAACAAUGCUGCUGUUAUUUCCUUACUGAAGGAUGAUGCUUGCUUUAUCCAAGAAUUAUUCUCUAGGAUGGGAUCACCAAAUAUUUCUAUGGAAUCAAAAAGAGAAUUGGUGAGACAUUCUCUUAUCUUUUCUUAUACGAGUUUAUGGCUUCAUCACAUGAAGUAUCUUUUUCAUUAUCAUAUCUGUUUAUUGUUAUACGAGCUUAUGGCUUCAUCACAUGAAGUAUCCUUUUCAUUAUCAGAUCUGUUUAUUGAUAGACAUUAUUAUCAAUUCCUUCGCAUUGUGUCAUUGCUACAAAGGAAUUUAGUUUGGGUACUGUAAAAUGUAGCUGAUUGAUACGGUUUUCCCCGUGAGUUAGAAGAAUAUCAUAUAUAGUGGUGCACGUGAUUAUGAAGGACCAUAAUCUGUUAUUGUUUUGGUGAUUUUUCUCAACAGUGGGAGCUUGGCGCUUGUUAAAUUUGAUAGUCAUCUAGACUAAUUCAUUUUCUGCAGGAUGUUGCAGUUUCUGUGUCCUGCGUAGUAUUUAGAGGAAUUCAAAUAGAUGCCACUGUAAAGUGUGGUUUAAUAUGUGGUCUGGGGCUCAGCUCAAUGCCAUUUUUAGGAACUACAAAAUUUGCGUUCUGUUCUGUUUUCAGGUUGAGAUGAUCCAGAUGAUAGUUGCUUUUACAUGCAUAUAGUUGUUGCAGUUACUGGAAUGUGGAGUUGGAAGUACUUAAUGCUCCGCGUCUGACAAUGCUAAUAGUGUUUCUGGUGUUUGCAGGUCCUGUUCUUGCAUGAGUUCUGCACUCUUAGUAAGAGUUUGCCACUUGUACAACACUACGACUGUUUCGGCAUAUACUUGUUUUCUUUCGUUCUUUCUUUUUCGUCAUAUGCCCUCUAGCUAGAUCACACAAGCCAUAAUAACACAGCACAGACCCCAGGCGUGCCAAAAUUUCAAAUAUGCAAACUGUGAUAAAUGGCUAUUUCCUAUAUCUCUUGCAAAACUAAACAUAGUUUUUUUGUGUGUGUGCAUGAUGUUGAUUCUAAAACCCCAUCUCAAAUAGGUCUCGUAUAAGCUCCGUUAGCUGUACAACUCUUGUUUCACUGUGUGGCUUGCUGUACGAGCUCAAACCAGAGGAUAGUUAUGCCAAUAUCAUACUUAGCUGAAUCCCUGGUUAAGUUUUGCGUAAGCUUCUGGUAUUCAAUUCAAUGAGCACACUGCACCUGCUCAUUGCACGACACUGUAAAAAUUUCUUAUGUACUGCAUAAUGACCAGUACUACUGCACAUGAGGAAAUCUGGACUUGCACAUCAGUAGAGGAUUGGGAGGAAAGUAGAGGUUUGAGGACGAAUGGAGGAGUGGACGAGAUUAGGCACACUAAUGUCACAUUCCUUAUGAAUUCGGUUGUUUUUAAUUAUUACUCAAAUGGGGAGGGCACUCUCUCCUUGUGUGUCGUAGUAUUUGUCUUAACAUGCCUAGGUAAGAUCAAUGUUUAUUGUGUUACUUAUGCCUGUAGGCUGUACCUGUAAACAUAGUGCAUCAUGCAACAGUACUGUAUCUUUGACAUCUGUUUGCCUUUGCUUGAGUAAGAUGUGCUUAUAAACAGGGCAUCCACUGCAGCUUUGAUGUCUGGAGUUUUAACCCUCUUAUCCUGGCUUCUUUUGCAAUAGAGCAUACGAUACUGGUAUGGCUGAGGUGGUGGUGCCAUCACCCUUUGGCAUCCCAAUGUAAUCUUGUAAUUAGUUUUGCUAAGAUUAGGUACAACAAGGGCCUAUGAUUCAUGUUAUCCGUAUUUUCAUCUAAGUUGCAUGGAUACGUGUAUUGAUAUCGGGCCAAUACCUAUAAAAAACGUCAUUUUCGAAAAGCACCAUUGAGUUCUUAUUUAACUCAUCUAAUAUGUUGCUACUGCUUAGAUGUUGACCAUGUAUACACACACAUAUGUACUUGUAUUUCAGAUCAGAACAGUCCCAGUACUACUGAUUUUAUAUGUUUACAUGACUUGCAACCGCUGAUUCUGCUUAGUUCAAGCAUAAUCUGAUUAGACUUAAAAGUUUGCUGCUUAAUUGCAGGUAUGUUAUGGACCUAAGCAUGUUGAGGUCGCAUCUUGCAAUGCAAACUCUUCUGAUGACGACAGAUAGUUUGUUUCGGCGCCUUCGCCACAUUGUCAUUCAUUUGUGAGAUGUUUCUCUUUCUCUAUGUUGGCAUGGAUGAUAUAUAGAGUAGUGGAAGAUUGUUAGUGAAACACAUUCAGCCCAAUGAAAUGUAUCGCCUUGAGCUCCAUUAUUUAGGCCAGAUCACAUGAGAGAUUUUGUGUCAAUUGCAUUGACAUCCAAUAAGGUAAAAGCUCUGAUUUAUAUUAGGAGGCGUACCCAUCUGUCUGAAGACUGCUCUUAAUAUAUUCUUCUCUUUCUCAUGUUGUAACAUUUAGAUCAGUCCACUUAUCGGAUUUUAAUUCCAUGUGCUCGGAUGCAUAUUUGAAUAAAUCAUCCAGUCCUUCUAGCUGUUGUACCAACAAAUGAAAAAGUAUAAGCAUCACAAGUGUGGCAUUCGUGUCAUCUGAGGAUGGAUAGCAACCGAUCUUUAUCAUCUUAUAGAUGCAUGCAUUCUCUAAGAACACACUUCCACCUGACCUUACUUGUAGAUGCUCUGUAGCCAAUCACAAUCUUUAUCAGCUAUAGAAAUUGAGUGACUGUCAAUCAGGAAAUCAAAGAUUGGAUAUGCAGUGUUUCAUGCAGCUGGCAUCACCUGUGUCAGAUUGUUUUUGUUCUCCAGUUGUAAGGACUACUGUAGAUUUGGCUCGACACCGUUUGUCACGUAGUCUUUGUAAUAUACCUUGUUUAUGUUGCUCAUACCGGGCACUUUCCAUCUGCCUCUUGAGUGCUUGUUUUGCUUCUGUAUAAUAAGUGUUAAUUAGGUACAAGACAACAUGAGCAACAGUGUUUUGUCAAUCAGAUGUACGGUGUAAGUGUAAAUUAUGUAUGAUACUCCCUCCAUUUUUGUAUACAAGGCCACUAUUAAAAAUACA